UUUUUCAGAUAGAAUCUGUCCAAAGCUUAUGGCCUAUUUACCGCUUAUUAUGUACACCAACCAUAAU
RNAcentral lists this transfer RNA (67 nucleotides) under Amazona barbadensis barbadensis. RNAcentral describes it as "tRNA-Glu". Lineage: Eukaryota; Metazoa; Chordata; Aves; Psittaciformes; Psittacidae. The record is from RNAcentral.